UACAGAGGGGGCAAGCGUUGUUCGGAAUUAUUGGGCGUAAAGGGUGCGUAGGCGGUGCGGUAAGUCUUCUGUGAAAUCUACGGGCUUAACUCGUAGUCUGCAGGAGAAACUGCCGUGCUUGAGUACUGGAGAGGAGACUGGAAUUCAUGGUGUAGCAGUGAAAUGCGUAGAGAUCAUGAGGAAGACCAGUGGCGAAGGCGGGUCUCUGGACAGUUCCUGACACUGAGGCACGAAGGCCAGGGGAGCAAACGGG
This 253-nucleotide ribosomal RNA is filed under the name uncultured bacterium. Its description in RNAcentral is "partial 16S ribosomal RNA". It matches the Rfam family "Bacterial small subunit ribosomal RNA", at positions 524 to 776 of the family's 1533-position model. The record is from RNAcentral.